Molecule: non-coding RNA, 189 nt
Filed under: Bacillota bacterium
Lineage: Bacteria; Bacillati; Bacillota
Description: 6S RNA
Rfam family: 6S / SsrS RNA
About the family: E. coli 6S RNA was the first non coding RNA to be sequenced, but its function was unknown until recently. It consists of 184 nucleotides that fold into an extended hairpin structure with a large single-stranded internal bulge.
Source: RNAcentral
GCAACCCUACUGUGUACGUGUUCACCCUGACGUAUUGAGCCAACACCAUACGGAAGGGAGCCUGGCUCUGGUUGUUAUUAUUGCAGGCCUUAUUAGUACCAAAGGAAGUAAGAAGGCAUCCAGGAGGGCACCCACUUGUUGAACGCAGGUUCAACAACUCAGGAUGAAAACGGCAUCGGUGGGGUAUGU